GAUGAACGCUGGCGGUCUGCUUAAUGCAUGCAAGUCGAGCGCUGCCUUCCGCUUGAGUGGGGGACGGGUGAGUAAAGCGUGGAAUUCUGCCUUGGUGACGGGGACACCACUGGGGACGGUGGCUAAAACCGGAUAAUCCUUUGGGUAGGCUUUUUCUGCCCCAGGAAGAGCUCGCGGCUGAUUAGCUCUGUGAUGAGCCUGCAGCCCACCAACGCAUUGAUCGGUAACUGGUCUGAGAGGACGAUCAGCCACACUGGGACUGAGAGCAUGCCCCCACUCCUACGGGAGGCACCAGUGGGGAAUUUUCCCCAAUGGGCGAAACCCUGACUGAUCAACACCGCAUGAAGGACGAAUGCUCUUGCGUUGCAUGCCUCUUUUCUGCCGUAAGAAUCUCUGACCGUUCCUGAGGAAACAACCACGGCUAACUCCCUGCCAACAACCGCGGUAAUACUGAGGAGGCAAGCGUUAUCCGGAAUUAUUGGGCGUAAAGCGUCCGCAAGUGGCGAUUCAAGUCUGCUGUCAAAGCACAGGGCUUAACUCCGUUAAAGCAGUGGAAACUGAAUAGCUAGAGGUGCCGUAAUGCUGCAGGGAAUUCCCGGUGUAGAGGUGAAAUGAAUUUACAUCGUGAAGAACAUCUGUGGCGAAAUCGCUCUACUGAACGGUGACUG
This 668-nucleotide ribosomal RNA is filed under the name uncultured organism. RNAcentral describes it as "bacterial SSU rRNA". It matches the Rfam family "Bacterial small subunit ribosomal RNA", at positions 28 to 742 of the family's 1533-position model. The record is from RNAcentral.